This 253-nucleotide ribosomal RNA is filed under the name uncultured bacterium. RNAcentral describes it as "partial 16S ribosomal RNA". It matches the Rfam family "Bacterial small subunit ribosomal RNA", at positions 524 to 776 of the family's 1533-position model. The record is from RNAcentral.
CACGUAGGAGCCAAGCGUUAUCCGAAUUCACUGGGCGUAAAGCGCGUGCAGGCGGCUCGGUAAGUUGGAUGUGAAAUCUCCUGGCUCAACUGGGAGAGGCCGUUCAAUACUGUCAGGCUAGAGGGCAGCAGAGGGAGGUGGAAUUCCCGGUGUAGUGGUGAAAUGCGUAGAUAUCGGGAGGAACACCAGUGGCGAAGGCGGCCUCCUGGGCUGCACCUGACGCUCAGACGCGAAAGCUAGGGGAGCGAACGGG